UCGAUCGGAUCCGAUACGCUGUCAGAAACGACCAUAAAGUGUGUGAGGGCGGCUAGCCACGACAAGCCUUUCCAAUGUCCCUGCCCCUGUCGUAAUUACAUCACAAGUUGGCGUGCCGAACCUGAUGUAUGAUGGAUAGAUCCGCAUACCAGUCUGCCCAGUGGAGUGUACCAACUGGUAGGCUUUUUCUAGCCAUUAUUCACCUAUGUUGACGUCCCACCUAAGGAGUCACUAUGUCACAGGGCAGGGACGAUGUUGAAAUGCCUUGUAGUGAGUAAUCAGUGGUGGUGUUAAACAAUAGUUUGAUAAGAAACUAUUCAUAAUAUUAAUUUAUAAAGUAGGCAGAGGUUUUUAAAAUAGCGGUAACACCUUUUAGACGAGAAAGUUAGAACAAACUGGAAUCUGAAACCCUUUGUUUUUAAUGAGGUGACUAUUGAAUUUGUUCCACUGUCCGAGUAGUGUAGAAAGAGAGGCAAUUGCCUUCUACUUUAUAAUUAAAUAAGCCUUAAGACCCUCUUAAACAUACAGCAAGCCUGCAGUCUCUGAUCCUGCAUUUAAGAAAGAGAAAAAAUAAGACGACGAAGAAGAAGAAGAAGAAGAAGAAGAAGAAGAAAGGAAAAUCGAUGAGACUCCUUUUGUUCACAACGCCGGGCCUCUUGGUAAAUAAACAGCUCAGCCCUAACCCGGAUCAGAUCGGGGGGGGUUGGGGGGAAGGGAGCGAGUUGGAAAGAUUAGUGGCUUUUUGACCGGCCUCGGUCUGGUCACUCCCAGCUAAAUCCACCUCAUUUAGAGCGUGUCAGGACGGGCUCCGGGACCAAGGACCCCAGAUUAGAGAUGAGAGUCCCUUUCAACAGAGCCUCACGGUAAAAGUAGAACUGCCAACUGCGAGCCGAGGGCGGAACACAGGGGGGCGCGGGAUUGGCUCAUCCCGAUCCUGACUGCGCUAGUCCCGACCCUGACUCUGAGCUAUCGCGUUUCGUUGAGGAACAAGAAAAAAAAGCACAACAAGCAUGGCAUGCUUUGUAGGUAAUCAUAUCAAGUCUGAGUGUGUUCUGGGAAUUAGUCUGGAGUUAAUGGCCAUCGUACAGGGGGUUAGAUACUCUCUUUGACAUUAAGUAAGUGCAUUCAAGCGCCUUUUUUUAUUCCACAUUUUAUUCCUUCCAGCACAAAGACUGAGCAUUAGCUUUGCCCUGGUGUAUGACUGAGGUGCCCCAAAAUGUACAAAUAUGUAAUGCCCUCAGUUGAACAAUUCCUCUUAUCUUCUACCCUCUCCCUGACAUCUGCUGCUGUAUUGGGAUUUACAUAACUGCACAUGACCUUAAAUGCAUAAUUUACUAGCUACAGUACAGUUUUAAAAGCAUGCUCUCCAGCAGCAGCUUUCUGGUGUUGCACAAUUUAGUGUGUGUGUGUGUGUGUGUGUGUGUGUGUGUGUGUGUGUGUGUGUGUGUGUGUGUGUGUGUGUGUGUGUGUGUGUGUGUGUGUGUGUGUGUGUGUGUGUGUGUGUGUGUGUGUGUGUGUGUGUGUGUGUG
Long non-coding RNA from Gadus macrocephalus (Pacific cod), 1529 nucleotides. RefSeq lists it as uncharacterized. The record is from RefSeq and is a predicted model, not a curated record. The transcript has 2 exons. Lineage: Eukaryota; Metazoa; Chordata; Actinopteri; Gadiformes; Gadidae.